AAGAGAGGUAAAAAGGUUGAAACUUGAAAGCAGAUGGAAUAUGGGCUCUUUUAGGGGCUUAAGUGCUCUUAAGUGAUGUAAGAGGAGGUGCUAAUGGUGGGGGAUCUGUGACUCUCUUAGCUAAAAACGUUCAAGAACAGAACACGGCACGAAUCCAGAGGAAAGGAUAAAAGGUAGAUAGAGUCCACUUGUGCUUUACUGGGUAUUAGUAAUAUCCGAAAAGCAAGCCAAAUUUUGGAAUUUUUUGGCGUUUUAGCAUUAAAUUCAUUCAAUCCUUUUCAAGGUUUUUCUAGCAUUUAUUCCCACUUUGAUUAUGCAAUAAUUCCUCAAAUCUGCAAAUUUAAGCCACAAAGCUUUCUUGGUUCACAGCUUCAAAAAGCACAAUCUUUCUGUGGUAUAGAGAGAGAGAGAGAGAGA
RNAcentral lists this unclassified non-coding RNA (417 nucleotides) under Hevea brasiliensis (rubber tree). Lineage: Eukaryota; Viridiplantae; Streptophyta; Magnoliopsida; Malpighiales; Euphorbiaceae. The record is from RNAcentral.